AACGCACCUUGCGCUCUUUGGUAUUCCGAAGAGCAUGCCUGUUUGAGUGUCAUGAAAAUAUCAACCUUGACUUGGGUUUAGUGCUCUUGUCUGGGCUUGGAUUUGGCUGUUUGCCGCUCGAAAGAGUCGGCUCAGCUUAAAAGUAUUAGCUGGAUCUGUCUUUGAGACUUGGUUUGACUUGGCGUAAUAAGUUAUUUCGCUGAGGACAAUCUUCGGAUUGGCCGAGUUUCUGGGACGUUUGUCCCCUUUCUAAUACAAGUUCUAGCUUGCUAGACAUGACUUUUUUAUUAUCUGGCCUCAAAUCAGGUAGGACUACCCGCUGAACUUAA
Molecule: unclassified non-coding RNA, 329 nt
Filed under: uncultured Solicoccozyma
Lineage: Eukaryota; Fungi; Basidiomycota; Tremellomycetes; Filobasidiales; Piskurozymaceae
Description: sequence contains ITS2
Rfam family: 5.8S ribosomal RNA (bases 1-52)
Source: RNAcentral